Molecule: ribosomal RNA, 484 nt
Filed under: uncultured bacterium
Lineage: Bacteria
Description: partial 16S ribosomal RNA
Rfam family: Bacterial small subunit ribosomal RNA
Source: RNAcentral
AGUGAACGCUGGCGGCAGGCCUAACACAUGCAAGUCGAGCGGCAGCGCGGGGGCAACCCUGGCGGCGAGCGGCGGACGGGUGAGGAAUUCGUCGGAAUCUGCCUUUUUGUGGGGGAUAACGUAGGGAAACUUACGCUAAUACCGCAUACGUCCUACGGGAGAAAGUGGGGGACCGCAAGGCCUCACGCAGAAAGAUGAGCCGACGACCGAUUAGCUAGUUGGUGGGGUAAAGGCCCACCAAGGCGACGAUCGGUAGCUGGUCUGAGAGGAUGAUCAGCCACACUGGGACUGAGACACGGCCCAGACUCCUACGGGAGGCAGCAGUGGGGAAUAUUGGACAAUGGGCGCAAGCCUGAUCCAGCCAUGCCGCGUGUGUGAAGAAGGCCUUCGGGUUGUAAAGCACUUUCGUCCGGAAAGAAAUCCCUGGAGCUAAUACCUUCGGGGGAUGACGGUACCGGAAGAAUAAGCACCGGCUAACUUCGUG